CCUACGUGGUGCAGCAGUCGAGAAUCAUUCACAAUGGGGGAAACCCUGAUGGUGCGACGCCGCGUGGGGGAAUGAAGGUCUUCGGCUUGUAAACCCCUGUCAUGUAGGAGCAAAUUAAAGAGAUAGUCCCACCAGAGGAAGAGACGGCUAACUCUGUGCCAGCCGCCGAGGUAAUACACAGUUUUCAAGCGUUGUUGGGAAUCACUGGGCGUAAAGCGUGCGUAGGCAGUUUCAUGAGUCGUGUGUGAAAUGAGCGGGCUCAACGCGCGGACGGCACAUGAUACUGCGAGAAGAGCGUAAUGGAGGGGGAACCGGAAUUCUCGGUGUAGCAGUGAAAUGCGUAG
This 344-nucleotide ribosomal RNA is filed under the name uncultured bacterium. RNAcentral's name for it is "partial 16S ribosomal RNA". It matches the Rfam family "Bacterial small subunit ribosomal RNA", at positions 338 to 693 of the family's 1533-position model. The record is from RNAcentral.